CUACGGGGGGCUCCAGUGGGGAAUAUUGGACAAUGGGCGAAAGCCUGAUCCAGCGACGUCGCGUGAGUGAAGAAGGCCUUAGGGUUGUAAAGCUCUUUCAGUAGGAAAGAUAAUGACGGUACCUACAGAAGAAGCUCCGGCUAACUUCGUGCCAGCAGCCGCGGUAAUACGAAGGGAGCUAGCGUUGCUCGGAAUUAUUGGGCGUAAAGCGUGCGCAGGCGGCUUUAUAAGUUGGAAGUGAAAGCCUCAAGCUUAACUUGAGAAUUGCUUCCAAAACUAUAUAGCUUGAGUAUCAGAGGGGAUAGUGGAAUUUCUAGUGUAGAGGUGAAAUUCGUAGAUAUUAGAAAGAACACCGGAAGCGAAGGCGGCUAUCUGGCUGAAUACUGACGCUGUUGCACGAAGGCGUGGGGAGCAAACAGGAUUAGAUACCCCCGUAGUC
This 439-nucleotide ribosomal RNA is filed under the name uncultured bacterium. RNAcentral's name for it is "partial 16S ribosomal RNA". It matches the Rfam family "Bacterial small subunit ribosomal RNA", at positions 339 to 795 of the family's 1533-position model. The record is from RNAcentral.